GAUCCUGGCUCAGGAUGAACGCUAGCGGCAGGCUUAACACAUGCAAGUCGAGGGGCAGCAUAAUGAAGUAGCAAUAUGGAUUUGAUGGCGACCGGCGCACGGGUGCGUAACGCGUAUGUAACCUACCUUUAACAGGGGGAUAACACUGAGAAAUUGGUACUAAUACCCCCAUAACACCUUUAGGGGGCAUCCUUAGAGGUUGAAAGUUCCGGCGGUUAAAGAUGGACAUGCGUUGUAUUAGCUAGAUGGUGAGGUAAAGGCUCACCAUGGCGACGAUACAUAGGGGGACUGAGAGGUUAACCCCCCACACUGGUACUGAGACACGGACCAGACUCCUACGGGAGGCAGCAGUGAGGAAUAUUGGUCAAUGGACGCAAGUCUGAACCAGCCAUGCCGCGUGCAGGAAGACGGCUCUAUGAGUUGUAAACUGCUUUUGUACAAGGGUAAACCUCGGUACGUGUACCGAGCUGAAAGUACUGUACGAAUAAGGAUCGGCUAACUCCGUG
Molecule: ribosomal RNA, 506 nt
Filed under: uncultured bacterium
Lineage: Bacteria
Description: bacterial SSU rRNA
Rfam family: Bacterial small subunit ribosomal RNA
Source: RNAcentral